RNAcentral lists this ribosomal RNA (445 nucleotides) under uncultured organism. RNAcentral's name for it is "bacterial SSU rRNA". It matches the Rfam family "Bacterial small subunit ribosomal RNA", at positions 346 to 784 of the family's 1533-position model. The record is from RNAcentral.
GUGCAGCAGUCGCGAAUUUUUCUCAAUGGGGGCAACCCUGAAGGAGCGACGCCGCGUGGAGGAUGAAGGCUUUCGGGUUGUAAACUCCUGUCAUUUGAGAACAAGUGUAGCCAAGUAACUACUGGCUACUUGAUAGUAUCAGAAGAGGAAGGGACGGCUAACUCUGUGCCAGCAGCCGCGGUAAUACAGAGGUCCCAAGCGUUGUUCGGAUUCAUUGGGCGUAAAGGGUGCGUAGGUGGCGCCGUAAGUGGGGUGUGAAAUUUCGGAGCUUAACUCCGAAACUGCAUUCCAUACUGCGGUGCUUGAGGACUGGAGAGGAGACUGGAAUUCAUGGUGUAGCAGUGAAAUGCGUAGAGAUCAUGAGGAAGACCAGUGGCGAAGGCGGGUCUCUGGACAGUUCCUGACACUGAGGCACGAAGGCCAGGGGAGCGAACGGGAUUAGAUA